Molecule: long non-coding RNA, 302 nt
Organism: Ruditapes philippinarum (Manila clam)
Lineage: Eukaryota; Metazoa; Mollusca; Bivalvia; Venerida; Veneridae
Exons: 5
Source: RefSeq, a predicted model, not a curated record
ACAAUAGCCAUAAAGUGACCGCUGGAUUCUUUGUCUUUUCGCCCAUGUUAGGAGAGAGUGUGUGAGAUAGGGCCUAGUCUCAAAUAAAAAAUAAUAUUCAAGAUGGCACCUUUUGGAAUAAUCAUAGCUCUCCUAAGUUCUUUUGUUUUAUACACAGAAUCAACAAUUUUACAACAUAAGAAACAUUAUUAUCCAUCUAAAUUUUCAAAGGGAGGACAUUUUUCCGGUGGUUUUAAAGGAGGAUUUGGAAAAUACAGCCAAGCCGGUGGAUUUAAAGGAGGAUAUGGAAAAUAUAACCUAGG